This 497-nucleotide ribosomal RNA is filed under the name uncultured bacterium. RNAcentral's name for it is "partial 16S ribosomal RNA". It matches the Rfam family "Bacterial small subunit ribosomal RNA", at positions 28 to 507 of the family's 1533-position model. The record is from RNAcentral.
GAUGAACGCUGGCGGCGUGCCUAAUACAUGCAAGUCGAGCGAACAGACGAGGAGCUUGCUCCUCUGACGUUAGCGGCGGACGGUUGAGUAACACGUGGAUAACCUACCUAUAAGACUGGGAUAACUUCUGGAAACCGGAGCUAAUACCGGAUAAUAUAUUUAACCGCAUGGUUCAAUAGUGAAAGACGGUUUUGCUGUCACUUAUAGAUGGAUCCGCGCCGCAUUAGCUAGUUGGUAAGGUAACGGCUUACCAAGGCAACGAUGCGUAGCCGACCUGAGAGGGUGAUAGGCCACACUGGAACUGAGACACGGUCCAGACUCCUAAGGGAGGCAGCAGUAGGGAAUCUUCAGCAAUGGGCGAAAGCUUGACGGAGCAACGCCGCGUGAGUGAUGAAGGUCUUCGGAUCGUAAAACUCUGUUAUUAGGGAAGAACAAAUGUGUAAGUAACUAUGCACGUCUUGACGGUACCUAAUCAGAAAGCCACGGCUAACUACGUG